CCAUUAUGGCUGGAAAGGCCCCCUUUGUGACCAGUGCAUCCUCUUCCCUGGUUGCGUCCACGGGAGCUGCACCGAGCCGUGGAAGUGUGACUGCGAGACCAACUGGGGUGGCCUCCUGUGCGACAAAGAUCUGAACUACUGUGGGUCACACCGUCCGUGCAAAAAUGGAGGGACGUGUGCCAAUAAGGAGCCCGACGAGUACGAAUGCCUUUGCUUGGAGGGAUUCCACGGCCGGAAUUGUGAGAACGCUCUCCUCCUGCUCCCGGUCAACGAGUCAACCUGCGCUCCCGAGGUUUGUGCCAACGGUGGGACAUGUGUCCAAAGCCCAUCCGGAUCCCAGUGUCUUUGCCCCACAGGGUGGAGUGGAGAGUCCUGUCUGGAGGGGGUGACCGCUUGCCUCUCGGAGCCCUGCAGCCAUGGGGGAAGCUGCAGAGAUGUCUCAGGUGGCUUCAAGUGCCUCUGCCCACCUCAGUGGACGGGGAAGACCUGCCAGAUUGAUGUCAAUGAGUGCCAAAGGAACCCCUGCCUCCACGCCCGGGGGUGCAAAAACCUCAUCGGGAGCUAUUUCUGCGACUGCCUAGAAGGCUGGAUGGGGACC
This is a non-coding RNA of Pogona vitticeps (central bearded dragon), 598 nucleotides long. The record is from RefSeq and is a predicted model, not a curated record. Lineage: Eukaryota; Metazoa; Chordata; Lepidosauria; Squamata; Agamidae.